GUGGUACCAGGAGAGACUGCACUGGCAUUUUAUAAAGCUAAGAAUCCUACUGACAAACCAGUAAUUGGAAUUUCUACAUAUAAUGUUGUACCGUUUGAAGCCGGACAAUAUUUCAAUAAAAUACAGUGCUUCUGUUUUGAAGAACAAAGGCUUAAUCCACAAGAAGAAGUAGAUAUGCCAGUGUUUUUCUACAUUGAUCCUGAAUUUGCAGAAGAUCCAAGAAUGGUGAAUGUCGACCUCAUCACUCUUUCUUACACUUUUUUUGAAGCGAAGGAAGGGCACAAGUUGGCAGUUCCAGGCUACAAUUGAAGUAGCUCCCAAGACCUGCAUCAGAUUUGCGAUUUUUGGAAAAUCAUGUAUUGUGCUUUCUCAGAAGAGAAUAUUCUACAGUAAUGUAUUUUGAAACCUUGUAUUUUAAAUGGUUUUGCCUUUCUUUCUUUGCAAUUCAUUUAUCCCACUUAAGAUUGAGAAAAGAAGUUCAAAACUCAGUCUGUGGUGAGAAAAUGCUGCUAUCCUGUGAUGGUGCUUAAGGGCAGGAAGUGAACACUGCUGUUUUAAGUAAUAGAAUAUGAACAUUCUUUAUAUCCCAAGCCUGGAGAGUAUAUGACUGCCCAAUGUACCACAAGUGUGACGAUUGAAAACUGCAUCAUGGGCCAGGCAGGUGAAUCAGUGGGUUGAAGUGUUUGCCACACAGGACUGACAACUUGAAUUCUGGUUGCUGGAACCAGCCUGAAAAGAGUGAGUGUAAUAGCUCACCUCUGUGGUCCCAGAGUUCUCACAGUGAGUAGGAGCUUAAGCCAGGAGGAUCGUUUUGCCUGUAUAUGCAUGCGCUGGCUGCCCACACAGAUGUAAAUUGCUUGAAUAGCCCUUCAUACCUGUAAUAAUGUCUCUGAAAACCUCAAGAAAGAAACUGUGUGCAACUCUUUGAGUUCAUAACAUGCAGGCUGCUCUUCCUUCAGUAUAAACUGACACCAUUUAAAAAUGUAUUUAUUUUCUCAGUAUGUAUGCAAGAUGAAUGCUACCCAUGCUGCAGCAGACAAUGUAGUGGGCAAGCUGUGGGAGAGCAUUUUCUCUUACUAUGGGGUCUCUGAGUAUGACAGGGUAGUGAAUGCCUUCAGCUACUGAGCUUUCUUUGGCUGAAUCAACAGUUAAAAGCUCAGUGUUAGAGGAGUCACUUGGUCCCAAGUUUGCAUUUUUAGUUCAAGCGUGUGGCUUUUCUGUUAGGCUUGAGUGCUGUUUUAUUCAGAGUACUGAAAAUAGAUGAUAACAUGGAAAUGAUGGUAUCAUGAUCUAACAGAAUUACACCUGCUGGCUAAGCUAGCAUUUACCACCAUAAUUCCAAGUUCAUUAACAUUAUCAUUGGAAGGGUGAAAUUGUGAAGACUUACUGGCAUAAAAGCUCAUUAAACUAGAAGACAGAACAAGAACAACACAACUCUGACAAAUUAAUAGUAAUUUAAUUUUACGUGAAUGAUGCAUUGCCCUGUUUUCCAGUAAUCUUUGUUUCAAAUCAGAAUGUGAAUUAUAAUAAAAGGCAAGAAUGUUUAACAUUAUAAAGAACUAACUACACCUAAAGGCCGCCUGAUGCAGUGGCCUCCUCAGGCACUUGAAAUACAAUUAAAGUCAUCAAGUCUUUCAAGCCAUUCUAAACCAAAAUGUUAUUUAUAAACAAGUACAAACUGAACUCUACAUUCAGAUUCAGUUCAAUAAAGGCACUCAUUUUCUUCCUUCCCCCAUCUGUUUACAAUGUUUUCUAAUAGGGUCUUAAAGUAACCCUGUCAUAGGUCUGUCAUGAUUUGCACUGGGUGCAAGCCUGCACAACAUAAGAGUCUACAGUUUAACCAAGUGGUCUAGUACUAGGCAGUUUUCCUUCUGCUGAAGUUGUUACAACCAGAUUUUCCUGAAAUCUUGAGCCAUUGUGAGGAACAGCAGUGUUGCCCAAAAAGUGUUAGCUUUUAUGUUGAAGUUUCCAGCAGAGAAAUGAUCCACUGUGGCUUUCCCUGUUGGCAGGUCUUGUCUUCCAGGCCUCCGUUGAUCAGGGACUACUUUAGAGAGCUGACCCUUUAUGAUGCUUAGUUCAUUUGUCUGAAAUAAAAGGAAAACAUUGGCCUAUCUGCCCUUCCUGAAGGACUGGAAGACCACAGGUAAGCAGAACAAAGGCCAGAAUGUACUUCCCGCAUGGUUGGUGAUGAGAAGAGGCUCAGGAUCAGGUUUCCAGUAGUGUGUAAAUAGGAUAAGUGGUGCAGGAGCACUAAGGAUGGCUUCUGUUGGUGCAGAUAUGAACUGCACACCAGAGCCAUAAGAGCUGCAUUAAAGUGACAAGGAAUUUCUACUGAUCAUCUGGCUUUAUUAGCAUUAAUACUAUAUACCCAAAACCAACUUUUGAAUUUCCACACCUAGAUAAGAGCACAGAGAUUGUAUUUCAUUAGUGAGCACUGGUCAUCACUAAGUAAUUUAGAGGAACUUGGUAUUGUACUAAAACAUGUGUCAGACUGAUGUGGUCCUUAAAGAAUUUCAUACAGAAUGUGAUAAUGCACUGAAAUUAGAUGGAAGUUAAGUUGCGUAAGCUGUCUUUUACCUCAGCAUUCACUAUGGCUUUGAGCUCCUUUCUUGUGGGAAGCAUCAAUUUCUUCAUAAAUAGCUCUGAAAAAAAGUCACCAAGGCAGAAGAAUUACACAUCAGUUUCAAAGUACCAUAUUACUACCACUAGAACUAAAAAUACAGGCUUUUGGGGGGAGGUCAUGCCUCAUAUGUGAAUUAAAACUAAUCUGCAGCUUAUUCUAACAAAACAUCUAAUGUUAGAGUCUUUCCUGUCUUAAAACUCAUUUUUACUUUUGAUUUAAACUAUGACUCAAAUUUGGGCAGUGUGGUUUUUUUUUUGUUUGUUUUUUUUUUUUGUUUUGUUUUGUUUUUUACUUCAAAGAUAAAGGUCUGAGUUUUAAAAUAUUUAAAAAAAUUAAGUCUGCCUUCUUUAACAUUGUAUUAUAGUCUAGACUUGGGAGAAACCUGUAGCUUGUAUUGGUCAUCUUUGUACCUUUAAUAAAUUAUAAUUUUU
Molecule: long non-coding RNA, 3054 nt
Filed under: Rattus norvegicus (Norway rat)
Lineage: Eukaryota; Metazoa; Chordata; Mammalia; Rodentia; Muridae
Description: long non-coding RNA NONRATT004745
Source: RNAcentral